UACGUAGGUACCGAGCGUUAUCCGGAUUUACUGGGCGUAAAGCGCGUUCAGGCGGUUUGGCAAGUCGGGCAUGAAAUCUCUCGGCUCAACCGGGAGAGGUUGUCCGAUACUGCUGGACUUGAGGGCAGUAGAGGGUGGUGGAAUUCCGGGUGUAGUGGUGAAAUGCGUAGAUAUCCGGAGGAACACCAGUGGCGAAAGCGGCCACCUGGACUGCACCUGACGCUGACACGCGAAAGCGUGGGGAGCAAACGGG
RNAcentral lists this ribosomal RNA (253 nucleotides) under uncultured bacterium. RNAcentral's name for it is "partial 16S ribosomal RNA". It matches the Rfam family "Bacterial small subunit ribosomal RNA", at positions 524 to 776 of the family's 1533-position model. The record is from RNAcentral.